This 500-nucleotide ribosomal RNA is filed under the name uncultured bacterium. RNAcentral's name for it is "partial 16S ribosomal RNA". It matches the Rfam family "Bacterial small subunit ribosomal RNA", at positions 29 to 523 of the family's 1533-position model. The record is from RNAcentral.
AUUGAACGCUGGCGGCAGGCCUAACACAUGCAAGUCGAGCGGCAGCGGGACCUUCGGGUCGCCGGCGAGCGGCGGACGGGUGAGUAAUGCCUAGGAAUCUGCCUGUUAGUGGGGGAUAACGCGGGGAAACUCGCGCUAAUACCGCAUACGUCCUACGGGAGAAAGUGGGGGACCCUCGGGCCUCACGCUAACAGAUGAGCCUAGGUCGGAUUAGCUAGUUGGUGGGGUAAAGGCCCACCAAGGCGACGAUCCGUAACUGGUCUGAGAGGAUGAUCAGUCACACUGGAACUGAGACACGGUCCAGACUCCUACGGGAGGCAGCAGUGGGGAAUAUUGGACAAUGGGCGAAAGCCUGAUCCAGCCAUGCCGCGUGUGUGAAGAAGGUCUUCGGAUUGUAAAGCACUUUAAGUUGGGAGGAAGGGCGCUCGGUGAAUACCCAGGCGUCUUGACGUUACCGACAGAAUAAGCACCGGCUAACUUCGUGCCAGCCGCCGCCGUAA